AUCCUUCCCUCCGAUCACGGCUGGCAGUCGGUCCAGGAUUCCUCCGAGUUCCGUCAGCUGGACCCGACCCACUCUCGCCCGGCACGCCAACCUGCCUUCUCGUCCUCUGUGCUCCGAACGCCCGUAGAGCCCGUAGACCACUCCCCUUGGCUAAGUCUCAGCUGAUCUCGGUCCGAUUCCCCGUCGCCUCCUGUGAACCAGACGUUCCUUCGCUCCCAGCCGUCUCCCGAGCCCCUGCGUUUUCUGAUCUCGGCGGAUUAAUUGUUUGCCCUAAAGAAUAAACUGUUGGAACUCUGA
This is a long non-coding RNA of Fundulus heteroclitus (mummichog), 297 nucleotides long. RefSeq lists it as uncharacterized. NCBI's taxonomy places the organism in Eukaryota, Metazoa, Chordata, Actinopteri, Cyprinodontiformes, Fundulidae. The transcript has 2 exons. The record is from RefSeq and is a predicted model, not a curated record.